Molecule: ribosomal RNA, 459 nt
Filed under: uncultured bacterium
Lineage: Bacteria
Description: partial 16S ribosomal RNA
Rfam family: Bacterial small subunit ribosomal RNA
Source: RNAcentral
CCUACGGGAGGCUGCAGUGAGGAAUAUUGGUCAAUGGCCGGAAGCCUGAACCAGCCAAGUCGCGUGAGGGAGGAAGGCGCAAAGCGUCGCAGACCUCUUUUGCCGGGGGACAAAGGGCCGGACGUGUCCCGUUCUGAGGGUACCCGGAGAAAAAGCAUCGGCUAACUCCGUGCCAGCAGCCGCGGUAAUACGGAGGAUGCGAGCGUUAUCCGGAUUCAUUGGGUUUAAAGGGUGCGAAGGCGGGCCUUUAAGCCGGCGGUAAAAUCGCGGGGCUCAACCCCGCCGAGCCGUUGGUACUGGGGGCCUUGAGUGCGGUGGAGGAAGGCGGAAUGCGUGGUGUAGCGGUGAAAUGCAUAGAUAUCGCGCAGAACCCCGAUUGCGAAGGCAGCCUGCCGUGCCGCCACUGACGCUGAGGCACGAAAGCGCGGGGAUCGAACAGGAUUAGAUACCCUUGUAGUC